This 232-nucleotide ribosomal RNA is filed under the name uncultured bacterium. RNAcentral's name for it is "partial 16S ribosomal RNA". It matches the Rfam family "Bacterial small subunit ribosomal RNA", at positions 100 to 334 of the family's 1533-position model. The record is from RNAcentral.
CGGGACGGGUGAGUAAUGUCUGGGAAACUGCCUGAUGGAGGGGGAUAACUACUGGAAACGGUAGCUAAUACCGCAUAACGUCGCAAGACCAAAGAGGGGACCUUCGGGCCUCUUGCCAUCGGAUGUGCCCAGAUGGGAUUAGCUAGUAGGUGGGGUAAAGGCUCACCUAGGCGACGAUCCCUAGCUGGUCUGAGAGGAUGGCCAGCCACACUGGAACUGAGACACGGUCCAG